This 530-nucleotide long non-coding RNA is filed under the name Lathyrus oleraceus (garden pea). RNAcentral describes it as "Pisum sativum (pea) long non-coding RNA (PSAT_LNC032551)". The record is from RNAcentral. Lineage: Eukaryota; Viridiplantae; Streptophyta; Magnoliopsida; Fabales; Fabaceae.
UAUUAAAUUUUUAUUCCAAUUAAUAAGUAGAAAUUAUAAAAUUAAAUAUUUGAAAUGAAAUUACAUUAUUGAUACUUCAAAAAAAAUUAUGUAAAUUUCAGAUGGAGUGUUUGUAGAUAAAUGUAUUCAAAGAAACAACGUAAAUGUUUAUUUUAUAUUCAAACUUUCCAAAUUGCAACAACAUUCACCCCCUAAACACGAGCCACCUUUUGGUUUGCCCAAUGAUGCUUUACAAAAAUGGUCACACUGUUCUGGUGAAGUUGGACAAAAAUUUGAUGCGAAGCAUAAUUUUCCGUUUGCUCCUGAAACUAUCAUUUCAAUUACAUUAGAAAUAAUAUAUAAAAUUGUGUUCAUAAGAUUGUGUUUUCUUAAACAAAAACAUAUUCCUUUUAGUAUACUCGAUAGUAUCCUACCAUCCAAAUGCUUUAAUAAAAAACAUAACAAUGAAUAUGAAGCAAUAAAAAUUGAGUUUUAUAAUUAGAUUAUUACCGGCAACCAUGCCUGAAGCAAUGCAAAUGAUCAAAAUGGNU